CCCUUAGAUGUUCUGGGCCGCACGCGCGCUACACUGAUGCAUUCAACGAGCCUAUCCUUGACCGACAGGUCCGGGUAUCUUUGAAUCUGCAUCGUGACGGGGAUAGAUUAUUGCAAUUAUUAAUCUUCAACGAGGAAUGCCUAGUAGGCGCAAGUCAUCAGCUUGCGUCGAUUACGUCCCUGCCCUUUGUACACACCGCCCGUCGCUCCUACCGAUUGGGUGUGCUGGUGAAAUGUUCGGAUCGGCCGUUUGUCGCGGUUUCCGCGGCUCGUGGCUGAGAAGUUCAUUAAACCCUCCCACCUAGAGGAAGGAGAAGUCGUAACA
RNAcentral lists this ribosomal RNA (324 nucleotides) under uncultured eukaryote. Its description in RNAcentral is "partial 18S ribosomal RNA". It matches the Rfam family "Eukaryotic small subunit ribosomal RNA", at positions 1470 to 1796 of the family's 1831-position model. The record is from RNAcentral.